This 62-nucleotide transfer RNA is filed under the name Dipodomys ordii (Ord's kangaroo rat). It matches the Rfam family "tRNA". Rfam says of the family: Transfer RNA (tRNA) molecules are approximately 80 nucleotides in length. Their secondary structure includes four short double-helical elements and three loops (D, anti-codon, and T loops). Lineage: Eukaryota; Metazoa; Chordata; Mammalia; Rodentia; Heteromyidae. The record is from Rfam by way of RNAcentral.
AGGAAUGUGGCUUAGUGGUAGAGUGCUUGCCUAACAUGCAUGAAGCCCUGAUAUCAUUCCUU